RNAcentral lists this small RNA (171 nucleotides) under Arabidopsis thaliana (thale cress). RNAcentral describes it as "ATSL293520". Lineage: Eukaryota; Viridiplantae; Streptophyta; Magnoliopsida; Brassicales; Brassicaceae. The record is from RNAcentral.
UUUUUUUCGCAUAUGACAUAACUUGAAUUUUUAAAAAGAAUAUAAACUGUUCAAUACAUGAAAAAUAUUAUAACGGGUCAAAAAUAGAUUUAAGAAAAUUUUCUACUGAGUACUGAGUCAUAAUUUGAAUAUUUAUAUUCAAUUUCAUACAUAUUAUUUUAAAAUUUAUAA